Molecule: ribosomal RNA, 1059 nt
Filed under: Portunus trituberculatus (swimming crab)
Lineage: Eukaryota; Metazoa; Arthropoda; Malacostraca; Decapoda; Portunidae
Description: SSU rRNA
Rfam family: Eukaryotic small subunit ribosomal RNA
Source: RNAcentral
CAGUAGUCAUAUGCUUGUCUCAAAGAUUAAGCCAUGCAUGUCUAAGUACAAGCCGAGUUAAGGCGAAACCGCGAAUGGCUCAUUAAAUCAGCUAUGAUUCAUUGGAUCUGUACCCACACUUACUUGGAUAACUGUGGUAAUUCUAGAGCUAAUACAUGCACCACGUCUCUGACCGCAAGGGAAGAGCGCUUUUAUUAGUUCAAAACCGGUCGGGCCUCGGUCCGUCACCCCAUUGUGUUGAAUCUGAAUAACUUUGAGCUGAGCGCACGGUCUCCGCACCGGCGCCGCCUCUUUCAAGUGUCUGCCUUAUCAGCUUUCGAUUGUAGGUUAUACGCCUACAAUGGCUAUAACGGGUAACGGGGAAUCAGGGUUCGAUUCCGGAGAGGGAGCCUGAGAAACGGCUACCACAUCUAAGGAAGGCAGCAGGCACGCAAAUUACCCACUCCCGGCACGGGGAGGUAGUGACGAAAAAUAACGAUGCGAGACUCAUCCGAGGCCUCGCAAUCGGAAUGAGUACACUUUAAAUCCUUUAACGAGGAUCUAUUGGAGGGCAAGUCUGGUGCCAGCAGCCGCGGUAAUUCCAGCUCCAAUAGCGUAUAUUAAAGUUGUUGCGGUUAAAAAGCUCGUAGUUGGAUUUCAGUUCUGGACUGACGGUUCACCGCCCGGUGCACACUGUCACGCUCCGAACAGUUUUUAACCGCCCGCUGGCUCGCACGGGGUGCUCUUCAUCGAGUGUCCCGCGUGGCCGGCAGAGUUUACUUUGAAAAAAUUAGAGUGCUCAAAGCAGGCUACAUUGACGGCCUGAAUGCCUAUGCAUGGAAUAAUGGAAUAGGACCUCGGGUUCUAUUUUGUUGGUUUUCUGAACCCGAGGUAAUGACUAAUAGGAACAGGCGGGGGCAUUCGUAUUGCGACGCUAGGAGGUGAAAUUCUUGGACCGUCGCAGACGACUACUGCGAAAGCAUUGCCAGGAUGUUUUCAUUAUCAGGACGGAAGGUAGAGGUUCGAGGCGAUCAGAUACCGCCCUAGUCUAGCCUAAACGAUGCUGAACUAGCGAAUCGU